This is a long non-coding RNA of Amphiprion ocellaris (clown anemonefish), 857 nucleotides long. RefSeq lists it as uncharacterized. The record is from RefSeq and is a predicted model, not a curated record. Lineage: Eukaryota; Metazoa; Chordata; Actinopteri; Pomacentridae. The transcript has 3 exons.
CGUUCUCUGGUGUAUCCAGCUGUUGUGAUUGCCGUCAAGGCAUGCUGUCUGAAUACCGUGGCUGAGUGCUGGGGUGAAUUCCCCGGGGUGAAGCGGGGAUCUGCUGGAGCCCUGCUGGGCAUAGGAUCACAGGCUCGCUCUGGGUGUGUGUGGGUGUGUGUGAGCCGUAUUCUUGUGGCUCACACCCUCCAGUUGCCAGUUAACAGCCCGGCAUAAUCGGACUGCCACCAUCACUUCAAGCUGAGCUGCUGUUUUGGUUCUCUUUAAUAUUUGUUUGGUGAACUGUUUAUGUUUUUUUCAUUCAGUUGUUUGCGGCGGCUUGGAGCGGACUUCUCAGCCCAGCAGGGCUGAGUGCCGUCUGCGUCCACUCCGUGCAGAGGCUGGUUGUGUUGCUGCUGUGUCAGAACUUGUACAGCUGCAAGGGCUACUUCAGUUGAUGGUGUUUUGUUUUCUUUGUUAUUUGGAAAUUAAUUCAGGUAUUUCCUUUUGGUGUCUUGGUUUGCUUUGUUGCAUUAGUUUAAUUGUGUUUUUGUUAUUUUCUUUGUGAGUUUAUUUAGCCUCAUGUAUUGAUUUAAUUCAUCAUUUAUUGUUCUUUGGUUUUGUUUUCUUUUGUCCACACCAGUUAUGGUUAGUUUGGGCAUGUUUUAUUAAUCUUUGUCUCUGUCUUCUGUGUACAGGUGCUGUGGCUUACUGUGGCAGUUAUUUCCUGCUGGUGGUGUCUUCUUCACGGUCCCCCCUUUCUUUUGGUUUUGUGUGUGUAUUAUUUGCAGUGUCACGGGUGAUUCAUUUGAGGAUUCCUCUCCCCUUUGUGGUUGUCCUGCCGCAGGGUAAACCCCAGCCUGGGUUUUUUUUUUUUU